This 114-nucleotide ribosomal RNA is filed under the name uncultured bacterium. Its description in RNAcentral is "partial 16S ribosomal RNA". It matches the Rfam family "Bacterial small subunit ribosomal RNA", at positions 1369 to 1482 of the family's 1533-position model. The record is from RNAcentral.
CGUUCCCGGCUUGUACACACCGCCCGUCACACCACGAAAGUCGGCAACGCCCGAAGCCAGUGGCCCAACCCCUUUGGGAGGGAGCUGUCGAAGGUGGGGUCGGCGAUUGGGGUG